This 2976-nucleotide ribosomal RNA is filed under the name Helicobacter pylori OK113. RNAcentral's name for it is "bacterial LSU rRNA". It matches the Rfam family "Bacterial large subunit ribosomal RNA". Lineage: Bacteria; Pseudomonadati; Campylobacterota; Epsilonproteobacteria; Campylobacterales; Helicobacteraceae. The record is from RNAcentral.
UAAGGCAGUGGUAGUGCUGAAGAAUAUUCGUGCAAUUGUCGUUAUUCAUUAUAAAAGGGCGGGUUUUAAAGGAUAUUUUAAAAUUUAAAACAAGCUUUUAAGAGCAGAUGGCGGAUGCCUUGCCAAAGAGAGGCGAUGAAGGACGUACUAGACUGCGAUAAGCUAUGCGGAGCUGUCAAGGAGCUUUGAUGCGUAGAUGUCCGAAUGGGGCAACCCAACUAAUAGAGAUAUUAGUUACUCUAAUUUAGAGAGCGAACCUAGUGAAGUGAAACAUCUCAGUAACUAGAGGAAAAGAAAUCAACGAGAUUCCCUAAGUAGUGGCGAGCGAACGGGGAAAAGGGCAAACCGAGUGCUUGCAUUCGGGGUUGAGGACUGCAACAUCCAAGAGAACGCUUUAGCAGAGUUACCUGGAAAGGUAAGCCAUAGAAAGUGAUAGCCUUGUAUGCGACAAGGCGUUAUUAGGUAGCAGGAUCCAGAGUAGGCCAGGACACGAGAAAUCCAGGUUGAAGCCGGGGAGACCACUCUCCAACCCUAAAUACUACUCUUUGAGCGAUAGCGAACAAGUACCGUGAGGGAAAGGUGAAAAGAACCGCAGUGAGCGGAGUGAAAUAGAACCUGAAACCAUCUGCUUACAAUCAUUCAGAGCCCUAUGAUUUAUCAGGGUGAUGGACUGCCUUUUGCAUAAUGAUCCUGCGAGUUGUGGUAUCUGGCAAGGUUAAGCGGAUGCGAAGCCGUAGCGAAAGCGAGUCUUAAUAGGGCGAUUUAAGUCAGAUGCUGCAGACCCGAAGCUAAGUGAUCUAUCCAUGGCCAAGUUGAAACGCGUGUAAUAGCGCGUGGAGGACUGAACUCGUACCCAUUGAAACGGGUUGGGAUGAGCUGUGGAUAGGGGUGAAAGGCCAAACAAACUUAGUGAUAGCUGGUUCUCUUCGAAAUAUAUUUAGGUAUAGCCUCAAGUGAUAAUAAAAGGGGGUAGAGCUCUGAUUGGGCUAGGGCUGCUCGCCGCGGUACCAAACCCUAUCAAACUUCAAAUACCUUUUAUCGUAUCUUGGGAGUCAGGCGGUGGGUGAUAAAAUCAAUCGUCAAAAGGGGAACAACCCAGACUACCAAAUAAGGUCCCUAAGUUCUAUUCUGAGUGGAAAAAGAUGUGUGGCUACUCAAACAACCAGGAGGUUGGCUUAGAAGCAGCCAUCCUUUAAAGAAAGCGUAACAGCUCACUGGUCUAGUGGUCAUGCGCUGAAAAUAUAACGGGGCUAAGAUAGACACCGAAUUUGUAGAUUGUGUUAAACACAGUGGUAGAAGAGCGUUCAUACCAGCGUUGAAGGUAUACCGGUAAGGAGUGCUGGAGCGGUAUGAAGUGAGCAUGCAGGAAUGAGUAACGAUAAGAUAUAUGAGAAUUGUAUCCGCCGUAAAUCUAAGGUUUCCUACGCGAUGGUCGUCAUCGUAGGGUUAGUCGGGUCCUAAGCCGAGUCCGAAAGGGGUAGGUGAUGGCAAAUUGGUUAAUAUUCCAAUACCGACUGUGGAGCGUGAUGGGGGGACGCAUAGGGUUAAGCGAGCUAGCUGAUGGAAGCGCUAGUCUAAGGGCGUAGAUUGGAGGGAAGGCAAAUCCACCUCUGUAUUUGAAACCCAAACAGGCUCUUUGAGUCCUUUAUAGGACAAAGGGAGAAUCGCUGAUACCGUCGUGCCAAGAAAAGCCUCUAAGCAUAUCCAUAGUCGUCCGUACCGCAAACCGACACAGGUAGAUGAGAUGAGUAUUCUAAGGCGCGUGAAAGAACUCUGGUUAAGGAACUCUGCAAACUAGCACCGUAAGUUCGCGAUAAGGUGUGCCGCAGCAAUGCGGUCUCAGCAAAGAGUCCCUCCCGACUGUUUACCAAAAACACAGCACUUUGCCAACUCGUAAGAGGAAGUAUAAGGUGUGACGCCUGCCCGGUGCUCGAAGGUUAAGAGGAUGCGUCAGUCGCAAGAUGAAGCGUUGAAUUGAAGCCCGAGUAAACGGCGGCCGUAACUAUAACGGUCCUAAGGUAGCGAAAUUCCUUGUCGGUUAAAUACCGACCUGCAUGAAUGGCGUAACGAGAUGGGAGCUGUCUCAACCAGAGAUUCAGUGAAAUUGUAGUGGAGGUGAAAAUUCCUCCUACCCGCGGCAAGACGGAAAGACCCCGUGGACCUUUACUACAACUUAGCACUGCUAACGGGAAUAUCAUGCGCAGGAUAGGUGGGAGGCUUUGAAGUAAGGGCUUUGGCUCUUAUGGAGCCAUCCUUGAGAUACCACCCUUGAUGUUUCUGUUAGCUAACUGGCCUGUGUCAUCCACAGGCAGGACAAUGCUUGGUGGGUAGUUUGACUGGGGCGGUCGCCUCCUAAAAAGUAACGGAGGCUUGCAAAGGUUGGCUCAUUGCGGUUGGAAAUCGCAAGUUGAGUGUAAUGGCACAAGCCAGCCUGACUGUAAGACAUACAAGUCAAGCAGAGACGAAAGUCGGUCAUAGUGAUCCGGUGGUUCUGUGUGGAAGGGCCAUCGCUCAAAGGAUAAAAGGUACCCCGGGGAUAACAGGCUGAUCUCCCCCAAGAGCUCACAUCGACGGGGAGGUUUGGCACCUCGAUGUCGGCUCAUCGCAUCCUGGGGCUGGAGCAGGUCCCAAGGGUAUGGCUGUUCGCCAUUUAAAGCGGUACGCGAGCUGGGUUCAGAACGUCGUGAGACAGUUCGGUCCCUAUCUGCCGUGGGCGUAGGAAAGUUGAGGAGAGCUGUCCCUAGUACGAGAGGACCGGGAUGGACGUGUCACUGGUGCACCAGUUGUUCUGCCAAGAGCAUCGCUGGGUAGCUACACACGGAUGUGAUAACUGCUGAAAGCAUCUAAGCAGGAAGCCAACUCCAAGAUAAACUUUCCCUGAAGCUCGCACAAAGACUAUGUGCUUGAUAGGGUAGAUGUGUAAGCGCAGCAAUGCGUUUAGCUGACUACUACUAAUAGAGCGUUUGGCUUGUUUUU